AUUGAACGCUGGCGGCAGGCCUAACACAUGCAAGUCGAACGAGUGGCGGACGGGUGAGUAAUGUCUGGGAAACUGCCUGAUGGAGGGGGAUAACUACUGGAAACGGUAGCUAAUACCGCAUACCAUCAGAUGUGCCCAGAUGGGAUUAUCUAGUUGGUGGGGUAACGGCUCACCAAGGCGACGAUCCCUAGCUGGUCUGAGAGGAUGACCAGACAAACUGGAACAGAGAAACGGUCCAGACUCCGACGGGAGGCAGCAGUGGGGAAUAUUGAACAAUGGGAGCAAGACUGAUGCAGCCAUGACGCGUGUAUGAAGAAGGUCUUCGGGUUGUAAAGUACUUUCAGCGGGGAGGCGUUACCCGCAGAAGAAGCACCGGCUAACUCCGUGCCAGCCGCCGCGGUAAUUC
This 406-nucleotide ribosomal RNA is filed under the name uncultured bacterium. Its description in RNAcentral is "partial 16S ribosomal RNA". It matches the Rfam family "Bacterial small subunit ribosomal RNA", at positions 30 to 526 of the family's 1533-position model. The record is from RNAcentral.